Daphnia pulex (common water flea) is the source of this 3710-nucleotide RNA transcript. RefSeq lists it as uncharacterized. Lineage: Eukaryota; Metazoa; Arthropoda; Branchiopoda; Diplostraca; Daphniidae. The record is from RefSeq and is a predicted model, not a curated record. The transcript has 9 exons.
CAGCAUUAGAGCUGCACGAGGAAAAAACCGUUAGAAAGUUUCUCGUACUUGUGCCAGGCAGACAUCGUCAAUCAGAGCUCAAGAAUCUUAGUUGAAAUUUCGUAAAAUUUUAACUUUUUCUACUUAAGAAUUGUUUUCUUCUUACUUCAACACGAAGAAUCAAGUUCAUCUCCCACCAUUUUGAAGACUGCUUCCAAUUUAUCUUCCACAUAACUGGGAUUUGUUCCUACUGAAUAUUUGUUUCUUCUAACAUCAACAAGGAGAAUCAAGUACAUUUCCCACUGUAUUUGAAGACUGCUUCCAAUUGAAUCUAGCUGGCAUUUGUUUUAUUUUUCCAUCAAAUUAGCAGAACAGUACUGACUACAGAGGGUCUGACCAACCCAAAGCACGGAAGAACAUGGGUUCUAAAAGGAAAGCUGAUGAAGAUGUGACACCUGAAUGUCACGAACAUGGUAAUCCCCCUAAGAAAAGGAAGAAUGAUGUUGAUUCUCUUCUGCUUGAAAUUGAAAACCAGAAUGUGGCUUACUUGAAGUAUUUUGUCGAACAAGUUACUGGCAACUUCCCGUUGAGUGAACAGUGGAGAUUAGUAUUCAUUCCUGCCCUAUCUGACACCACUAUUUCAGACCAGAUCUUUCAUAUCCUCAAGAAGAAGUACGCAGACAUCGACCUCAUGAAAAAAGAAGAGAAAACAAAAAAUCCAGAUUGUAUGACUCUACCACAGGACGCUGAUACAGAGCAGCUCAUUGAAGUACUGGAGCUGGUCGGCGCUGCGUGUGUUUUUUAUGGGAACGCUAAAGCUCGAAGAUACGGCUGGAGCUGCUGGUAUAAAGCCACGAAUCUGCGAGAAGGCAAUGCCAUUCCGAAGUCUACCUUUCUUCAAUCUGAAAACCUAAAACUUGCUAUGAGGAAAAAACUUGAAUUCCAAACUGUUCAAGAAUUGGAAGGAUUGCUUCGGCAGAGGCGAACGCACUGGGCGACUCAGGCAAUCUUCACUUGUCUACGUAUAUCGAAGAAGUGUGACUGCUAUCAGAAAAGAUUCGUUGUCUACAAUUUGUUCAAAUUCGCUCUUCAAGGAUGGGGGGACCGCCAUGUCCCCCGUCCCCGCGCUUUCGCCAUAUCCCUCCACCUUUUUGAGCUCUUCGGUAAAACAAAAUUUUUGGACGAACUAGUGAAAAAUGAAACGAACUUGGAAGAUGUCGUACACUCAACGUUCACCGAAUUCUUCAACACCCUGAGGGACCCACUGAAGGGGGUUUUUGGGGUCAAUGGAGUUGGCGCUGGUUGCCGUUACUUUCCUUAUGCGACGUCUUGAUAUCAGUUUACAAUAAUAGCUCUGGACUGUAGGGAAUCCAAGCUCAUAUUCGAGGUAACCUUGCAGUCAACAUAUGUGAGGAUUUCUUGAUUCGUUAAAAUUUUUGCAUAUCUUCGUUGUGAUUCUUGCAUGGAAGUCAACCUGCAGAAAGGUCGGCCAGUUUGUCCAGACAGGAUGUCUUUCUCGCUUGAAGGUCACGAGAAACAUUACGUAAAACUGGCAUGCGGUGGUGAAGAGGUUGGGUGAGAAUGACACGUGUUUCAUCAUUAUCAAAGCAGACCCAUCCCCAGCAACGUCUACCUAAAGAAGGAAAGGCCAGUUUGCAUUUCAAUCGAAGGUCAUGGAGAUAAAAAAAAAAACGUUUCAUGCAGUGGUGUAGAGGUUGGGUGAGAACGGGACGUUUUGCAUCAUUAUCAAGAAGGUAAAAUAACCGCAAGGCUUAAGAGGAGGGGUGAGAAAAAGUAUAAAAGGCGAGAGAAAAGUUGACAGGGAUCAGUCGAGCGAGUAUCUUCGACAAGGGAACAGCUGUAGUGUACUUUUUGCCGUCAGCUGCAUUCUUCAUCGUACUAUCAGUUCUCAAUCAUGGGUAAAUUUUCUGUUGUUGUAUGGAGUUAUGUAUCAAUUUCUAUUUUGUUUUCUCUUUGUUAACAUGCCAGAUAAUGUUGCAUAUUAUUUGUUAAAUUAUUUAUUUUUUAGUCGUACAUAAUGGCAAGGAUUAGGCGAAAGAAAUCAGUCGAGUGAACAUCUCCGGCACGGUAACAGCAACUGCAGUGCACCAUUUGUCACCAACUGCAUUCUUCGUCGAAUUGCUAGUCAAAUCAUGGCAAACUAUGGCGUCGUGCUGCAGUUGUGUGUUGCAUCGUUGAUGGCUGGGUCGGCCACUGGUGUACCGAUGUCUCCUGGGUAUGGCGGCUAACAAAUCGAAACGCCGCCACCUUACUACACAAGAUAUGCCGAGGCCCCCAAGUACUGCACCAAGGCUCCAGAUUAUUAUCCUACUACUUAUGCUGCCCUGAGCUACUACACCGAAUCCCCACAGUAUUAUUCUUCCCCGAGCUACAAUACCAAAGGGUCGAUUACUACACCGAUGCUCCGAAGUACUACACCACCAAGACACCGGAGUACUGCACAACUACAUACAAUGAGAAAAGGCGAAAGAAAACCGUCGAGUGGUCAUCUCCGACACGGCAACAGUAACUGCAGUGCCAAGGCUCAGUAUUACACCACAAAUUAUGUUGCCCCGAGACUCUACCCCAAAGCGCCUGAGUGCUAUACCGAGGGCACUAAUUUCUACACCACCAAGGCACCGGAGUACUACACUGCAACAUACCCUGCUCCAGAUUAUUACAACGAGGCUCCCCAACACUACACCACCAAGGCACUGGAGUACUACACCACUACAUAUCAUGAGGAAAGGUGAAAGAAUUCAGCAGCCGAGUGAGCAUCUCCGUUACAGCAACAGGAACUACCGUGCAGUAUUUGAUCAACUUCAUCCUUCUUCGCAUUACAAGUUUUAAAUAAAGGUAAAAAAUUUUCUAAGAGUUUUGAAUCAACUCUACUUUUUUCUAUUUGUUAAUAUACCGGUUCCAUAAUUGAUUAUUAAUGAUAAAAUUUAUUAAUUGUCAAGUAAACUAUGGCGUCGUGCUGCUGUUGGGCGUUAUAUCGUUGAUGGAUGGAUCGACCACUGGUGUGCUGAUUUCUCCUGGGUAUGGCGGGCGUGAAUAAUCCGUAGCAACCGGUUACUACACUGGGGCCCCCAAAUACUACACCACCAAGGCUCCAGAGUAUUACACCACAACUUAUGCUGCCCCAAUGUUACUACGCAGAUGCUCCGAAGUAUUUUUCUUCCUCGAGCUUCACUACCUUCACCACGCCGCUUACUAAUUAACAACGUCAACACCUACUUACUAUACGAAGGUCUCCAGUACUACGCCACAAAAGCUCCUGACUACUACACCGAGGACCUAACUUGUCACACCACUGAAGCGCCCAAGUAUUGCACUACAACCUACGUUUCUCCAGCUUACACCACGAUGGCAGCGGAGUACUACACCACGAUGGCAGCGGAGUACUACACCACGAUGGCAGCGGAGUACUACACCACGAUGGCAGCGGAGUACUACACCACGAUGGCAGCGUGGUGACGAGUCAGAGUGGUGAUGAUUCUUCAGUAUCCUGCGCUGUGACAUGUCUGUUUCAUAUUUUGGAGGUGACUAUUGCCUUAGUCGAUCUGCAUACGGACAUGUUCUUGUGUUUUGACGAUGUUACAAGGGUAGGUUACGAAAGGAAGUUGUAACUGUUGAUUUGGGUAAGUCUUAUAAGUAAAAGGCAAGUGGAUGAAUUUUGUAUAAAUGAAAGAAUUUGAAGUUGAGAAAAAUAUAUUGGAACAAUUCCUAAA